Hylaeus volcanicus is the source of this 889-nucleotide long non-coding RNA. RefSeq lists it as uncharacterized. NCBI's taxonomy places the organism in Eukaryota, Metazoa, Arthropoda, Insecta, Hymenoptera, Colletidae. The record is from RefSeq and is a predicted model, not a curated record. The transcript has 3 exons.
GUUCGCGAACGACGAUUGACGCACUCCGCAUUCUUUUCGACGUUUUCGUGAUAUUCGACGCGUCAGUGAUCCUGGUGAUUUUUUUUACGAAUUUUCCAUUGUGGAAUUCCAAAGGUUGCGCGACGGUCAGGCUGCAAGAAAAUCGUUUGUUCCAAGCAUCGAAGGACGAUCCCAAUUGUGGCUGACAGGGUGAAAAAGCUGGGAAGAUAAUUAAAAUUAAUUCUGAAGCGUGAUCCACGAAUUCGGAACGUUCGACGACGCCGAGACUGCACGGCGACCUUUCGUUUAAUCGUCGCUGUGGCGGGUAACAGCGUUCGAUUCGGAGAAGUAUGAUUAUUAUUUGCUCUCCAGUAAUUGGUCUAUACACAGGGCGUUGAAAAGAAUGGCUCGCGGUGGCUUAGGAGGCCAUAUACAAGUCACUAAACUGACAGCGAAGAAAAAAGCGCAUGGAACCCGACGUAGGGCGAGAGGUUGGCCCUGAUUCUGACGGAGUUGGAGGCUACUUUUGGGUUUUAACGAUAAUUCAAGCGGUACACCGUUUAACGGAAACGCGAGGAUUGAUAAUAGUGUUUGUCCUGGGAGUGGUCCCUUCCUAAUUAGGCUCGUUGACCCGAAGAAUUAGGAUUGAAUCGAUAUUCUAUUUAACUGUCACACCUUCGCUUGUGAUACUAUAAUAUAGACUUGGUCAGCUAUAUAUAAUUUAUAGUCGUGGUCAUAAUUAGACGAUUCGAGUCUAUUAUUAAAUUUAAAUAGUUACACUGCUGUAUAAGUAAGUAUAGAAUAAUACGACGAUUGUUUUUAAUCGGCAAAGAUGACUCUAUUUAAAGUAUAACAUGAACUAAUUAUACAAGAUUGCAAGGAACUUUGUAAUAUUUUGUUUCUGAUAUUA